RNAcentral lists this ribosomal RNA (258 nucleotides) under Proteus mirabilis. RNAcentral describes it as "partial 23S ribosomal RNA". It matches the Rfam family "Bacterial large subunit ribosomal RNA", at positions 1768 to 2025 of the family's 2925-position model. Lineage: Bacteria; Pseudomonadati; Pseudomonadota; Gammaproteobacteria; Enterobacterales; Morganellaceae. The record is from RNAcentral.
UGAAGCCAGUCGAAGAUACCAGCUGGCUGCAACUGUUUAUUAAAAACACAGCACUGUGCAAACACGAAAGUGGACGUAUACGGUGUGACGCCUGCCCGGUGCUGGAAGGUUAAUUGAUGGGGUUAGCGCAAGCGAAGCUCCUGAUCGAAGCCCCAGUAAACGGCGGCCGUAACUAUAACGGUCCUAAGGUAGCGAAAUUCCUUGUCGGGUAAGUUCCGACCUGCACGAAUGGCGUAAUGAUGGCCAGGCUGUCUCCAC